AGUGCCAGGACCAGAAGCAAUGGACACAAACAGAAACACAAGAUGUUCUUUCUGAACACCAGGAAACACUUCUUCCCUGAGAUGACAAAUGAGCACUGGAACAGACUGUGCAGAGAAGUUGUGGAUUACAAGCAUGUGGUUGAAAGUUUUCAAGAGUCAGAGAGAUAAAGGUCUGAAUAACCUGGUCUGAUCCUUCUGUGAGCAGGAGGUUGGGCUAGAGGCCUCCCUUUCAACCUGAAUUAUUUUAUGAGUCCAUGAGACUCUCAUAUAUUUAUCUUCUACAGCAAGUACUAUCUUAGAGAUAAUACUCUGAUUUGUUGCUCUAGCCCACAGCUACUUUCCCGGUAAUGUAAAUUUUUCAAGUACAAAAAUGCACCCAUGAUUAGUUCAUUGCAGGAUCAGGGCAACAAUGGGCAUAAGAGCCCGUAUAUAUAAUCCAAUGCUGUUUCAUACUUCUAUGUUUUUCAGAUUUCAAAUGAUGCAUCUGAUUGCCAGCAACAAACUCAAAAUCUUCAAAAAAGAAAAGAGCUGGAGCAGGGACUUAACUCUUGGACUUGGCAAGAUCAAUUCUGAAAUGAAAUUAAGCUGGUUGGAAUGUCUAGCAUGA
This 607-nucleotide long non-coding RNA is filed under the name Cyanistes caeruleus (blue tit). Its description in RNAcentral is "lncRNA (ENSCCEG00000000500.1)". Lineage: Eukaryota; Metazoa; Chordata; Aves; Passeriformes; Paridae. The record is from RNAcentral.